UUGAAGGGCUGCAGUAUAUUGACUGUACAAAGGUAGCAUAAUCAUUAGUCAUUUAAUUGAUGACUUGUAUGAAAGAUUGGAUGAAAUAUAAUCUGUCUCUUAAUUAAUAGUAGAAUUUAAUUUUUUAAUUAAAAAGUUAAAAUAGUUUAAAAAGACGAGAAGACCCUAUAGAGUUUUAUAAUUAAAUUAAUUAAGAUUAUUUAAUAAUAUAAAAUUAAAAUUAAUUUAUUUAUUAUAUUGGGGUGAUAGAAAAAUAUAAUUAACUUUUUAUAUAAGUAAACAUUUAUAAGUGAUUAAAUGAUCCAAUAUUAUUGAUUAUAAGAAAAAAUUACCUUAGGGAUAACAGCGUAAUUUUUUUUUUUAGUUCAUAUAAAAAAAAGAGUUUGCGACCUCGAUGUUGGAUUAAGAUAAAAUUUAAAUGCAGAAG
This 427-nucleotide ribosomal RNA is filed under the name Pirateolea argocyma. Its description in RNAcentral is "partial 16S large subunit ribosomal RNA". Lineage: Eukaryota; Metazoa; Arthropoda; Insecta; Lepidoptera; Noctuidae. The record is from RNAcentral.